GACCGCUUUACCCGAUGGCCUGAGGUGA
RNAcentral lists this small RNA (28 nucleotides) under Bombyx mori (domestic silkworm). RNAcentral's name for it is "ovarian small RNA-15498". Lineage: Eukaryota; Metazoa; Arthropoda; Insecta; Lepidoptera; Bombycidae. The record is from RNAcentral.